This 104-nucleotide small nuclear RNA is filed under the name Dasypus novemcinctus (nine-banded armadillo). Lineage: Eukaryota; Metazoa; Chordata; Mammalia; Cingulata; Dasypodidae. The record is from RNAcentral.
GUGCUCACUUUGGCAGCACAUAUACUAAAGUUGUAAGGAUACAAAGAUUAGCAUGGCCCCUGCACAAGGAUGACAAGUAAAUUUGUGAAGCAUUCCAUAUUUUU